Molecule: ribosomal RNA, 253 nt
Filed under: uncultured bacterium
Lineage: Bacteria
Description: partial 16S ribosomal RNA
Rfam family: Bacterial small subunit ribosomal RNA
Source: RNAcentral
UACGUAGGGUGCAAGCGUUGUCCGGAAUUAUUGGGCGUAAAGAGCUCGUAGGCGGCUUGUCGCGUCUGCUGUGAAAACCCGAGGCUUAACCUCGGGCUGGCGGUGGAUACGGGCAGACUAGAGGUAGGUAGGGGAGAAUGGAAUUCCCGGUGUAGCGGUGAAAUGCGUAGAUAUCAGAAAGAACACCAGUGGCGAAGGCGGGUCUCUGGGCCAAAACUGACGCUGAGGAGCGAAAGCGUGGGGAGCGAACAGG